Molecule: ribosomal RNA, 480 nt
Filed under: uncultured Bacteroidota bacterium
Lineage: Bacteria; Pseudomonadati; Bacteroidota
Description: bacterial SSU rRNA
Rfam family: Bacterial small subunit ribosomal RNA
Source: RNAcentral
GAGUUUGAUCAUGGCUCAGGAUGAACGCUAGCGGCAGGCUUAAUACAUGCAAGUCGAGGGGCAGCAGCUUUAUAGCAAUAUAGAGGCUGGCGACCGGCAAACGGGUGCGGAACACGUACACAACCUUCCUUGAAUAGGGGGAUAGCCCAUAGAAAUGUGGAUUAAUACCCCGUAAUAUAGCGGUGUGGCAUCACACUGUUAUUAUAGUUUCGGCGAUUCGAGAUGGGUGUGCGGCUGAUUAGGUAGUUGGCGGGGUAAAGGCCCACCAAGCCUUCGAUCAGUAGCUGAUGUGAGAGCAUGAUCAGCCACACGGGCACUGAGACACGGGCCCGACUCCUACGGGAGGCAGCAGUAAGGAAUAUUGGUCAAUGGACGCAAGUCUGAACCAGCCAUGCCGCGUGAAGGAUGAAGGUCCUCUGGAUUGUAAACUUCUUUUAUAGGGGGCGAAAAAAGGUCUUUCUAGAUCACUGACAGUACCCU